Molecule: non-coding RNA, 583 nt
Organism: Pelobates cultripes (western spadefoot toad)
Lineage: Eukaryota; Metazoa; Chordata; Amphibia; Anura; Pelobatidae
Source: the annotation of a GenBank genome assembly
UAUUUUUUGAGACAGCAUACACUUUGGUCUUUGGAGCAUCACACUUUAACACCUAUUCAUUUGAAUACAAAAGUAAUCAAGGAUUAUUUAUAAUAAAAUAUAUACAUAUAUAAAAUAAGGCACAUUAGCAUAUUCUUAACAUAUUGUUAGGAUCAUGGAUAUCCUUGCGUAAAAAAACCAAACAAUUUCUGUACAGUGUUCUGUACACAAAAGCAGCAACAUGUGCAUAAUUUUACAGGUGGGCCACACUGGAUUCUGGUUUCAGAAAGUGCUAGGAGUAUGUCAGACCAAAUAUAAGUUUGUAACGAUGCCUCUUCAAGCAUAAAGAUGAAGUUACAUUAAAGAGAGACUAUAGGCACCCAGAGCAUGUCAUCUUAUUGAAGGGGUAUGAGUACUGUUACUGUUCAAGAGGUGCUUCCUGGAGUUUCAUGGAGUUAGACUCUGUGAAACUAUGCUGGACAUCAUGAUUUGCAUGAGGAUGUUAAACGUGUUGAAAAAACACAUAGGUAAGCAUUGAAUCAAUAAAGUAUUCCCUAUGAGGAAGGACUAUUGCAAGCGUGGUGCUCACCUCAUUAUGUUUUCC